AAUAGUUCAGAAGAGUACAGAGAACUUUCUGAAAUCCAUUUAGACUGCCAUUCUUUAACUUAUUUAUAUAAAACAUGUUUGCUGGUGCUACAAAACUGGGAAUAAUAGCUACUCUAAGUUUCCAACUUCAAUUUUGCUGUAAGAAGCACGAAACCUGUUUUAUCACUUAUACUCCUUCCACUGAGGUGAUAAUAAAACUCACUCAUUUCAUUUUCACUUAGCACAGUUCAGGAAAUGCACCCCUUUGCUUUUUUUCUGCCUGGAAAAAAUUUACUUUGCUUUUAUUAUUUAUUGUAAAGAUUAGAAUCUAAAACAUCUGUCACUUCUCUUUAGAGUGAGAGAUAAUGAAUGGAUACAAUCUGCUUCCCCCUACAAGACUGAAUGAAUCUGGCUGAUCAGCCUCCAGCAAAUAGCUGGGGAUGCUGCCUGGGGUAUCCAGACUCAGAAUUAAUACUGAAGCAGUGACUGGAUGGGCAAGUGCUCAACGAUGUCUUAUUAGCAAGCAGGAACUCUGCCAACAUGUGAAGAGGAAAAAAACACAACUGGUCAUCAAGUUUGCCUUCAGUAUCUGAACACCUCAGAUUUUAAUUGCCUUCCUCUGGAUUUGUGAACAGCGAUGUGCUUGUGGCCACAGGUCAGUAGCUGUUAUUAUUACACUUGCUGAUGAUAAAUGAAGUGUUGUGCUCUCUUCUUAUUAGAAAGGGUUGUUUUAUCUUAAAUGUAGAUUGCAGCAAAGCAGAUGGCAAGCAGCAGUUAUAGGUUUUACUUUAGGGAGGCACAGGCAGCCUUGGCUUGAAUAAUGAGUGGAGCUACAGUAUGUUUCAUCAGUAUUCAUCAUCUGCCUACACCAAAGGUGACACACAGGCCCAUGGGUAGCACACCUUACUGCAGCUUUGUCUGAAAUGGCUGCAGUAGUGGGACGUGCAUAUGAAUAUGCAGCUUAAAAGGAAAAAAAUAAAUAAAAAUUGGUGGUUUGUGGGAAUGGGUCA
Molecule: long non-coding RNA, 989 nt
Filed under: Coturnix japonica (Japanese quail)
Lineage: Eukaryota; Metazoa; Chordata; Aves; Galliformes; Phasianidae
Description: lncRNA (ENSCJPG00005004483.1)
Source: RNAcentral